GCUACGGUAGCAUAACUGGUAAAUGCACUGCUCUGAUAAGGCAGAGAUAGAACGUUCAAGUCGUUCGCGUAGCAC
RNAcentral lists this transfer RNA (75 nucleotides) under Gordonia phage Phendrix. RNAcentral's name for it is "tRNA-Ile". It matches the Rfam family "tRNA". Rfam says of the family: Transfer RNA (tRNA) molecules are approximately 80 nucleotides in length. Their secondary structure includes four short double-helical elements and three loops (D, anti-codon, and T loops). Further hydrogen bonds mediate the characteristic L-shaped molecular structure. tRNAs have two regions of fundamental functional importance: the anti-codon, which is responsible for specific mRNA codon recognition, and the 3' end, to which the tRNAs corresponding amino acid is attached (by aminoacyl-tRNA synthetases). tRNAs cope with the degeneracy of the genetic code in two manners: having more than one tRNA (with a specific anti-codon) for a particular amino acid; and 'wobble' base-pairing, i.e. permitting non-standard base-pairing at the 3rd anti-codon position. Lineage: Duplodnaviria; Heunggongvirae; Uroviricota; Caudoviricetes. The record is from RNAcentral.